GACGAACGCUGGCGGCGUGCCUAACACAUGCAAGUCGAACGGGACCGCAAGGUUCAGUGGCGGACGGGUGCGUAACACGUGAGGAACAUAGCCAACGGCGGGGGAUAGCCGGCCCAACGGCCGGGUAAUACCGCGUACGACCUUUGGGGGGCAUCCCCUGGGGGUGAAAGCAGCAAUGCGCCGAUGGGGUGCCUCGCGGCCUAUCAGCUAGUUGGUGAGGUAACGGCUCACCAAGGCUACGACGGGAGCUGGUCCGAGAGGAUGACCAGCCACAUUGGGACUGAGACACGGCCCAG
This 296-nucleotide ribosomal RNA is filed under the name uncultured bacterium. Its description in RNAcentral is "partial 16S ribosomal RNA". It matches the Rfam family "Bacterial small subunit ribosomal RNA", at positions 28 to 334 of the family's 1533-position model. The record is from RNAcentral.